GAUGAACGCUGGCGGCGUGCCUAAUACAUGCAAGUCGAGCGAACAGAUGAGGAUCUUGCUCCUCUGACGUUAGCGGCGGACGGGUGAGUAACACGUGGAUAACCUACCUAUAAGACUGGGAUAACUGCGGGAAACCGGAGCUAAUACCGGAUAAUAUAUUGAACCGCAUGGUUCAAUAGUGAAAGACGGUUUUGCUGUCACUUAUAGAUGGAUCCGCGGCGCAUUAGCUAGUUGGUAAGGUAACGGCUUACCAAGGCAACGAUGCGUAGCCGACCUGAGAGGGUGAUCGGCCACACUGGAACUGAGACACGGUCCAGACUCCUACGGGAGGCAGCAGUAGGGAAUCUUCCGCAAUGGGCGAAAGCCUGACGGAGCAACGCCGCGUGAGUGAUGAAGGUCUUCGUAUCGUAAAACUCUGUUAUUAGGGAAGAACAAAUGUGUAAGUAACUAUGCACGUCUUGACGGUACCUAAUCAGAAAGCCACGGCUAACUACGUG
This 497-nucleotide ribosomal RNA is filed under the name uncultured bacterium. Its description in RNAcentral is "partial 16S ribosomal RNA". It matches the Rfam family "Bacterial small subunit ribosomal RNA", at positions 28 to 507 of the family's 1533-position model. The record is from RNAcentral.